RNAcentral lists this unclassified non-coding RNA (358 nucleotides) under soil metagenome. Its description in RNAcentral is "partial contains 5.8S ribosomal RNA, internal transcribed spacer 2, and large subunit ribosomal RNA". The stretch from base 1 to 120 matches the Rfam family "5.8S ribosomal RNA", at positions 35 to 154 of the family's 154-position model. The record is from RNAcentral.
GAUGAAGAACGCAGCGAAAUGCGAUAAGUAAUGUGAAUUGCAGAAUUCAGUGAAUCAUCGAAUCUUUGAACGCACAUUGCGCCCGUCAGUAUUCUGGCGGGCAUGCCUGUUCGAGCGUCAUUACGCCCCUCAAGUCCCCUGUGGACUUGGUGUUGGGGAUCGGCGAGGCUGGUUUUCCAGCACAGCCGUCCCUUAAAUUAAUUGGCGGUCUCGCCGUGGCCCUCCUCUGGGCAGUAGUAAAACACUCGCAACAGGAGCCCGGCGCGGUCCACUGCCGUAAAACCCCCCAACUUUUUAUAGUUGACCUCGAAUCAGGUAGGACUACCCGCUGAACUUAAGCAUAUCAAUAAGCGGAGGA